AUGGAGGAGGGGGCCCUGGGCCUGCAGCAGGGCCAGCCGAUGGCACCUGAAAGUGACAGGGUGACCAGGCAGGCCCGGGGGAGCACCCCCAGGGCACACCCAGGAGCAGAGGCGGAGAAAGGACAGGGCAGGAGAAGGAGAAGCCUUCGAGCAGCCUCAGGCCCGUGGCCCAGCCCAUCCACCAGCAGGGACAGCGGGCAGCUCGGCGCGCCUGACUGGGUGCCAGGGGCUGCAGCUUUAAAUAAACUUGGACCAGUCCACCUGGGCCGGGAGGCAGCACCAACUGUGCCCCGGCCAGCCCUGUCAACAACUAGCCAGCAUGGCCGCUGCGGAUCCCGCCUGCACGGCCCCGGCCCCCUCCCCACAUGCUGCCUGACCCCAGGCAUUCCCCUGGGGCCAGACAGGCUCAGCUGGGCUGAGCUGACCGAUGCUGGCUGCGACGCCCCCUCUUGUCCCAAGUCGCUGCAGGCCCCUCACAUCGCACCCACUCCCUUCCAGCCGCUCCUCCUGCCCACCUGGGAAGCAGUGAGCGAUUCCAGCCCCCACCUGCCCCUCCAGGAGAGUCAGCCCCAGACACCUCUACUCUCAGGGUGGCGGCAGCUGCCGAUAACCAGUUGCUGUUGGGACGGGAGGCUGGGGGCGGGGGGACCCAGCCAGCCCGAGCUGCGGCCAGGGAAGGUGGCCAUGCCACAGGGAAGACAGGAGACAUGGAAUGAGCCUGGGCUGGGGCCCCCGACUCGCCAGGGGCUGCCCUGGCAGAUGCCAAGGGUGAGGGCCUGUGUGAUUCCGGACACAGUGGAGGAGAGGCCACGAAGGUCCCUGGAAGUGACCACUGCCCUCUUCCCGGGACAGCCCGCCACCUGCCUGACCCACAGCAUGGAGACAGCACCGGGGACACAGGGCAGCGGGGGGGGUCUGAGCACCACUGGGUCAGACCCAGGGCUCCCACGUGGACCCCCAGCCCACCCAGCACCCUCUUCCUCUCUGCCUCCGGCCCAGCCUGCCCCGGAAGGUUGUUCCUUCCAGGGCGGCCCUCCACAGCCAACAGGCCUCCGCCAAGGGGUCCUGAGCUGCCCCUAUCCCCUCACUUCCACCCUAGGCCGCCCCCAGGCCUGCUUGACCUGGGGUGUCCCCACGUGCAGAGAGAAGAAGGAAGGCGCGCAGCGCACCCCUCCCGCGGCUGCUCCACAAUUAUCAGCCAUCAGCGUCCCUCGCCCACCACAAGCUUCCACCAGGCGCUUUUUUAGUAAAGGGGAAAAAAGGAUCUGCCGCUGCAAGUGUAAGAGGAAAUUUUUGCUUUUCGCCCCCCCCCCCAGGAGAACUGGG
This 1326-nucleotide long non-coding RNA is filed under the name Oryctolagus cuniculus (rabbit). Its description in RNAcentral is "lncRNA (ENSOCUG00000032159.1)". Lineage: Eukaryota; Metazoa; Chordata; Mammalia; Lagomorpha; Leporidae. The record is from RNAcentral.